Molecule: transfer RNA, 74 nt
Filed under: Trichomalopsis sarcophagae
Lineage: Eukaryota; Metazoa; Arthropoda; Insecta; Hymenoptera; Pteromalidae
Description: tRNA-OTHER
Rfam family: tRNA
About the family: Transfer RNA (tRNA) molecules are approximately 80 nucleotides in length. Their secondary structure includes four short double-helical elements and three loops (D, anti-codon, and T loops).
Source: RNAcentral
GUAGACGUUAGCUCAGUGGUUAGAGCACAGGCCUCUGGCUCUCGGGUACACGAGUUCGAGUCCCGUCGUCUACU